RNAcentral lists this transfer RNA (89 nucleotides) under Lachnospiraceae bacterium. RNAcentral describes it as "tRNA-Ser". It matches the Rfam family "tRNA". Rfam says of the family: Transfer RNA (tRNA) molecules are approximately 80 nucleotides in length. Their secondary structure includes four short double-helical elements and three loops (D, anti-codon, and T loops). The record is from RNAcentral. Lineage: Bacteria; Bacillati; Bacillota; Clostridia; Lachnospirales; Lachnospiraceae.
GGAGAAGUACCCAAGAGGCCGAAGGGGCUCCCCUGGAAAGGGAGUAGGGCGUUAGUAGCGUCGCAUGGGUUCAAAUCCCAUCUUCUCCG